AGCGAACGCUGGCGGCAGGCUUAACACAUGCAAGUCGAGCGGGCAUCCUUGUGGUGUCAGCGGCAGACGGGUGAGUAACGCGUGGGAACGUGCCCUUCGGUUCGGAAUAACUCAGGGAAACUUGAGCUAAUACCGGAUACGUGCGAGAGCAGAAAGGUUUAUCUGCCGAAGGAUCGGCCCGCGUCUGAUUAGCUAGUUGGUGAGGUUACGGCUCACCAAGGCGACGAUCAGUAGCUGGUCUGAGAGGAUGAUCAGCCACACUGGGACUGAGACACGGCCCAGACUCCUACGGGAGGCAGCAGUGGGGAAUAUUGGACAAUGGGGGCAACCCUGAUCCAGCCAUGCCGCGUGAGUGAUGACGGCCUUAGGGUUGUAAAGCUCUUUUCUCCGGGACGAUAAUGACGGUACCGGAGGAAUAAGCCCCGGCUAACUUCG
This 435-nucleotide ribosomal RNA is filed under the name uncultured bacterium. RNAcentral describes it as "partial 16S ribosomal RNA". It matches the Rfam family "Bacterial small subunit ribosomal RNA", at positions 29 to 505 of the family's 1533-position model. The record is from RNAcentral.